RNAcentral lists this ribosomal RNA (761 nucleotides) under uncultured bacterium. RNAcentral's name for it is "bacterial SSU rRNA". It matches the Rfam family "Bacterial small subunit ribosomal RNA", at positions 1 to 702 of the family's 1533-position model. The record is from RNAcentral.
GUAGUUUAGUAUCCUGGUCUCAGAAUUGAACUGCUGGCUGGCUAUGGCCUAACACAUGCAAUGUCUGAGACGGCUAACAGAGAGUAGUCUUGUCUACGUCUGCUGCACGAUGUCGGCGGACGUGGCUGCAGAUAAUGCUUGGCGCAAUGUACCUUAUGGUGGGGGACAACAUGUUGGAAAUCGACUGCUAUACCGCAUAAUGUCUUCGGACCAAUGGCGGGGGACCUUCGGGCCUCGCGCCAUAAGAUCAGUCCCAACGUGGGAUUAGCUAGUUGGUGAGGUAAUGGCUCACCAAGGCGACGAUCCCUAGCUGGUUUGACGAGGAUGAUCAGCCACACUGGGACUGAGACACGGCCCAGACUCCUACGGGAGGCAGCAGUGGGGAAUAUUGCACAAUGGGCGCAGCCUGAUGCAGCCAUGCCGGUGUGUGAAGAAGGCCUUCGGGUUGUACAGCACUUUCAGUAAGGAGGAAAGGUUGGAUGUUAAUAGCAUUCAGCUGUGACGUUACUUACAGAAGAAGCACCGGCUAAACUCCGUUGCCCAGCGAGCCGCGGGUAAUUACGGAGGGUUGCGAGCGUUAAUUCGGGAAUUAACUGGGCGUCAAUUGAAAAGCCAGGGGGUUUGGUAAAGCGAGAUGUGGAAAGCCCCCGGGGUCACACCUGGGGAACUUGGAUUUCGAACUGGGAGACUAAGAUGUUGUGACUAAAGGGGGGUAGAAUUUUCCAGGUGUAGCGCGAGUAAAAUUGCGGUAGAGAUUUGAG